RNAcentral lists this ribosomal RNA (506 nucleotides) under uncultured bacterium. RNAcentral describes it as "partial 16S ribosomal RNA". It matches the Rfam family "Bacterial small subunit ribosomal RNA", at positions 29 to 523 of the family's 1533-position model. The record is from RNAcentral.
AGUGAACGCUGGCGGUAGGCCUAACACAUGCAAGUCGAACGGCAGCACAGGAGAGCUUGCUCUCUGGGUGGCGAGUGGCGGACGGGUGAGGAAUACAUCGGAAUCUACUUUUUCGUGGGGGAUAACGUAGGGAAACUUACGCUAAUACCGCAUACGACCUACGGGUGAAAGCAGGGGCCCUUCGGGCCUUGCGCGAUUGAAUGAGCCGAUGUCGGAUUAGCUAGUUGGCGGGGUAAAGGCCCACCAAGGCGCGGAUCCGUAGCUGGUCUGAGAGGAUGAUCAGCCACACUGGAACUGAGACACGGUCCAGACUCCUACGGGAGGAAGCAGGGGGGAAUAGUGGACCAUGGGCGCAAGCCUGAUCCAGCCAUACCGCGUGGGUGAAGAAGGCCUUCGGGUUGUAAAGCCCUUUUGUUGGGAAAGAAAUCCAGCUGGCUAAUACCCGGUUGGGAUGACGGUACCCAAAGAAUAAGCACCGGCUAACUUCGUGCCAGCCGCCGCCGUAA